GACGAACGCUGGCGGCGCGCUUAACACAUGCAAGUCGAGCGAAGCGGCGGACGGGUGGGUAACACGUGAGUAACCUGCCUUAGACAUUGGGAUAGACUCGGGAAACAGGGAUUAAUACCAAAUGGUCUAAGAUGGACUCGCGUCCGAUUAGGUAGUUGGUGAGGUAACGGCCCACCAAGGCGACGGUGGGUAGCCGGCCGGAGAGGGUGAACGGCCACAUUGGAACUGAGAAACGUUCCAAUCUCUCCGGGAGGCAGCAGUGUGGAAUAUUGCACAAGGGAGGGAACUCUGAUGCAGCGACGCCGCGUGAACGAAGAAGUCUUUCGAGUCGUAAAGUUCUUUUAUAUGGGACGCGGUACCAUAAGAAAAAGCCCCGGCUAACUACGUGCCAGCAGCCGCGGUAAUAC
Molecule: ribosomal RNA, 407 nt
Filed under: uncultured bacterium
Lineage: Bacteria
Description: partial 16S ribosomal RNA
Rfam family: Bacterial small subunit ribosomal RNA
Source: RNAcentral